UCCUGCUCAAUGAAAAUUUAAAUAGCCGCAGUACCUUGACUGUGCAAAGGUAGCAUAAUCAAUUGGCUUAUAAUUGAAGUCUGGAAUGAAUGGAUUUACUGGAAAUAAUUGUCUAUUAAAAAUAAAAGAAAUUACUUAAUAAGUGAAAAUUCUUAUAUAUAUAUAAAAGACGAGAAGACCCUAGAAAUUUUUUAAAAAUUUCCUAUAAUUAUUUUGUUGGGGCGACAAGGUAACAAGUAACUUACAUAUUUUAAUUGGAAUUUUAUUUAAAGAAUAAAUAAAUUACUCUAGGGAUAACAGCAUUAUUUUUUUAAAAGGUUGUGACCUCGAUGUUGGACUAGGAAAACUUUUAUUUAGAAGAUAAAAAUAUAGGCUCUGUUCGAGCUAUUUCUCCUACGUGAUCUGAGUUCAGACCGGA
RNAcentral lists this ribosomal RNA (418 nucleotides) under Ganula gadirana. Its description in RNAcentral is "partial 16S ribosomal RNA". It matches the Rfam family "Archaeal large subunit ribosomal RNA", at positions 1949 to 2689 of the family's 2987-position model. The record is from RNAcentral. Lineage: Eukaryota; Metazoa; Mollusca; Gastropoda; Stylommatophora; Hygromiidae.